Molecule: ribosomal RNA, 254 nt
Filed under: uncultured bacterium
Lineage: Bacteria
Description: partial 16S ribosomal RNA
Rfam family: Bacterial small subunit ribosomal RNA
Source: RNAcentral
UACAGAGGUCUCAAGCGUUGUUCGGAUUCAUUGGGCGUAAAGGGUGCGUAGGCGGCGCGGUAAGUCGGGUGUGAAAUCUCGGAGCUUAACUCCGAAACUGCAUUCGAUACUGCCGUGCUUGAGGACUGGAGAGGAGAACUGGAAUUUACGGUGUAGCGGUGAAAUGCGUAGAUAUCGUAAGGAAGACCAGUGGCGAAGGCGGGUCUCUGGACAGUUCCUGACGCUGAGGCACGAAGGUCAGGGGAGCAAACGGG